GACGAACGCUGGCGGCGUGCCUAAUACAUGCAAGUCGAGCGCACAGGGUUGGUACUUGUACCUACUGGAUGAGCAGCGAACGGGUGAGUAACGCGUGGGUAAUCUGCCUUUGAGCGGGGGACAACAUUUGGAAACGAAUGCUAAUACCGCAUAAAAACUUUAACCACAAGUUUCAAGAUUGAAAGAUGCAAUUGCAUCACUCUAAGAUGAUCCCCCGUGGUAUUAGCUAGUUGGUGAGGUAAACGCUCAACAAAGCGAAGAUACAUAGGCGACCCGAGAGGGGGGUUGGCCACAAUGGGACUGAGAAACGGCUCAAACCUCUAAGGGAGGGAGCAGGAGGGGAUCUUCGGCAAUUGAGGAAAGGCUGACCGAGCAACGCCGGCGGAGGGAAGAAGGGUCUCGGAUCGGAAAAAUCUGUUGGUAGAGAAGAAAGUUGGUGAGAGUGGAAAGCGCAUCAAGUGACGGUAACUAACCAGAAAGGGACGGUUAACUACGUG
This 497-nucleotide ribosomal RNA is filed under the name uncultured bacterium. RNAcentral describes it as "partial 16S ribosomal RNA". It matches the Rfam family "Bacterial small subunit ribosomal RNA", at positions 28 to 507 of the family's 1533-position model. The record is from RNAcentral.